Molecule: ribosomal RNA, 497 nt
Filed under: uncultured bacterium
Lineage: Bacteria
Description: partial 16S ribosomal RNA
Rfam family: Bacterial small subunit ribosomal RNA
Source: RNAcentral
GAUGAACGCUGGCGGCGUGCCUAAUACAUGCAAGGCGAGCGAACAGACGAGGAGCUUGCUCCUCUGACGUUAGCGGCGGACGGGUGAGUAACACGUGGAUAACCUACCUAUAAGACUGGGAUAACUUCGGGAAACCGUAGCUAAUACCGGAUAAUAUAUUGAACCGCAUGGUUCAAUAGUGAAAGACGAUUUUGCUGUCACUUAUAGAUGGAUCCGCGCCGCAUUAGCUAGUUGGUAAGGUAACGGCUUACCAAGGCAACGAUGCGUAGCCGACCUGAGAGGGUGAUCGGCCACACUGGAACUGAGACACGGUCCAGACUCCUACGGGAGGCAGCAGUAGGGAAUCUUCCGCAAAGGGCGAGAGCCUGACGGAGCAACGCCGCGUGAGUGAUGAAGGUCUUCGGAUCGUAAACCUCUGUUAUUAGGGAAGAACAAAUGUGUAAGUAACUAUGAACGUCUUGACGGUACCUACUCAGAAAGCCACGGCUAACUACGUG